GACGAACGCUGGCGGCAUGCCUAAUACAUGCAAGUCGAGCGAACAGAUGAAGUGCUUGCACUUCUGACGUAAGCGGCGAACGGGUGAGAAACACGCAAGGAAUCUACCUAUAAGCGGGGGAUAACACUCGGAAACGGGUGCUAAUACCGCAUAAUAUCUUCUUCCGCAUGGAAGCAGCUUGAAAGACGACUCUGUUGUCACUUAUAGAUGACCUUGCGGUGCAUUAGUUAGUUGGUGGGGUAACGGCCUACCAAGAGGAUGAUGAAUAGCCGACCGGAGAGGGUGAUCGGCCAGAUUGGUACUGAGAAACGGCCGAAACUCCUACGAGAGGCAGCAGUAGGUAAUCUUCCGCAAUGGGCGAAAGCCUGACGGAGCAAUGCCGCGUGAGUAAAGAAGGCCGUCGGGUCGUAAAACUCUGUUAUAAGAGAAGAACAAAUUGUAGAGUAACUGCUACAGUCUUGACGGUAUCUUAUCAGAAAGCCACGGCUAACUACGUGCCAGCCGCCGCAGUAA
This 513-nucleotide ribosomal RNA is filed under the name uncultured bacterium. RNAcentral describes it as "partial 16S ribosomal RNA". It matches the Rfam family "Bacterial small subunit ribosomal RNA", at positions 28 to 523 of the family's 1533-position model. The record is from RNAcentral.